Molecule: transfer RNA, 76 nt
Filed under: bacterium
Lineage: Bacteria
Also listed under: 4 other names
Description: tRNA-Phe
Rfam family: tRNA
About the family: Transfer RNA (tRNA) molecules are approximately 80 nucleotides in length. Their secondary structure includes four short double-helical elements and three loops (D, anti-codon, and T loops). Further hydrogen bonds mediate the characteristic L-shaped molecular structure. tRNAs have two regions of fundamental functional importance: the anti-codon, which is responsible for specific mRNA codon recognition, and the 3' end, to which the tRNAs corresponding amino acid is attached (by aminoacyl-tRNA synthetases). tRNAs cope with the degeneracy of the genetic code in two manners: having more than one tRNA (with a specific anti-codon) for a particular amino acid; and 'wobble' base-pairing, i.e. permitting non-standard base-pairing at the 3rd anti-codon position.
Source: RNAcentral
GCCCAGGUAGCUCAGUAGGUAGAGCAGAGGACUGAAAAUCCUCGUGUCGGUGGUUCGAAUCCGCCCCUGGGCACCA